This 199-nucleotide long non-coding RNA is filed under the name Malus domestica (apple). Its description in RNAcentral is "long non-coding RNA (MDOM_LNC004779)". The record is from RNAcentral. Lineage: Eukaryota; Viridiplantae; Streptophyta; Magnoliopsida; Rosales; Rosaceae.
GGUGGAAUGGUGCAGAAAUGAGUCAAAGGUGCAGCAAGAGUCAUGAUGCACGGCAUGGGAGUCCAAAGGUGGUGGAUGGUGCAUCAAUGAGUGCAUGUAGUGGAGGUAAAAGUUGUAUGAAAUCUGAUGGGUGAAGGGAACAAGGAAUGGUGUAGCAAUUGAGUGCAAGGAGUGGACAAGAUUAUUGUGCACAUGGUAG